UGAGGAAUAUUGGUCAAUGGGUGCAACNCUGAACCAGCCAUCCCGCGUGAAGGACGACUGCCCUAUGGGUUGUAAACUNCUUUUGUANAGGGAUAAACCUACCCUCGUGAGGGUAGCUGAAGGUACNAUACGAAUAAGNACCGGCUAACUCCGUGCCAGCAGCCGCGGUAAUACGGAGGNUGCAAGCGUUAUCCGGAUUUAUUGGAUUUAAAGGGUNCGUAGGCGGACUNAUAAGUCAGGGGUGAAAGNCUGUCGCUNAACNAUNGAACUGCCNUUGAUACUGNANNUCUUGAGUAUAUUUGAGGUAGCUGGAAUNAGNNNUGUAGCGGUGAAAUGCAUAGAUAUUACUUAGAACACCAAUUGCGAAGGCAGGUUACCAAGAUAUNACUGACGCUGAGGGACNAAAGCGUGGGGAGCGAACAGGAUUAGAUACCCUGGUAGUCCACGCCGUAAAACGAUGCUAACUCGCUUUUUGGGCUUUANGGUUCAGAGACCAAGCGAAAAGCUGAUAAGUUAGCCACCUGGGGGAGUACGCCNCGCAANGAGUG
RNAcentral lists this ribosomal RNA (548 nucleotides) under uncultured bacterium. Its description in RNAcentral is "partial 16S ribosomal RNA". It matches the Rfam family "Bacterial small subunit ribosomal RNA", at positions 355 to 896 of the family's 1533-position model. The record is from RNAcentral.